CGAGGGCGCUGGUAGCUUGAAGGGGGCUGCUCCUAGUACGAGAGGACCGGAGUGGACGAACCUCUGGUGUUCGGGUUGUGUCGCCAGACGCAUUGCCCGGUAGCUAAGUUCGGAAUCGAUAACCGCUGAAAGCAUCUAAGCGGGAAGCGAGCCCUGAGAUGAGUCUUCCCUGAUACUUUAAGUAUCCUAAAGGGUUGUCGGAGACUACGACGUUGAUAGGUCAGGUGUGUAAGUGCUGUGAGGCAUUGAGCUAACUGAUACUAAUUGCCCGUGAGGCUUAACCAUACAACACCCAAGGGGUUU
This 303-nucleotide ribosomal RNA is filed under the name Vibrio parahaemolyticus. Its description in RNAcentral is "partial 23S ribosomal RNA". It matches the Rfam family "Bacterial large subunit ribosomal RNA", at positions 2646 to 2925 of the family's 2925-position model. The record is from RNAcentral. Lineage: Bacteria; Pseudomonadati; Pseudomonadota; Gammaproteobacteria; Vibrionales; Vibrionaceae.